Motacilla alba alba is the source of this 2060-nucleotide long non-coding RNA. RefSeq lists it as uncharacterized. NCBI's taxonomy places the organism in Eukaryota, Metazoa, Chordata, Aves, Passeriformes, Motacillidae. The record is from RefSeq and is a predicted model, not a curated record. The transcript is spliced from 2 exons.
GAAGCCUAAGUUAAAUGUUCUUGUUAAGUGAAUACUUAACAAUGUAAAUGUUAUUUUACAGUAAGAUUUCAGAAUAUAUUUUGAGACCGUCAAAAUGAGUGGCUCUGGUACUCUCAGUUAAUAAAGUUUUCACAUUUCAUGAUUUCAUUUUUGAUAAAUGUAAAUGAAUGGGCCACAACAGCAUGAACUAAUAUAUACAGUUAACGUAAUGAUUUUGUACAUAAGCUGAUUCAGUACUUGUCAACUAUAUUCUUCUAUAUUCUUCCAACAUGGCAAGUAUGCUUUACUUAAAGAACUGCAAGAUUCAGUAAUAGAGCCUUCUUAACUGUUCUUCUAAAUAACAGGCUUUUUGCUCUAAUGGUAUUUUAUAGCACUCUCAUUUAAAAACAGAUCUUAUUCUGCUUCCAUUUACUUGGUCUUUCAUAUCUGAAAUAACUCCCUAAAUUCCAUGCUUUUGUAACUUUCACAUAACUCACCUCCUCCUGCAUCUUAAUACUUAGGACACAAUUAGUACCAAUCUUUUGCUGUUUCUUUUAUCUCCUUUCUGAUAUUGAGACUGAUAACAUGGUGGGAUUUUUUGUUUUCUUUUUUUUUUUUUGGUCUUGUUGCAGUUCUAUAUAGGUAUUGCUUCCACAGACCAGAAAAAGCACAACUCCUGGCCAAAUUCCUAAAGAUGUGUACUACCUCCAAAAAGGCCACUGAACAAACUGAAGUAUCAACUUCUCCAACCUACUAGAACUUCCAGUAAAAGCACAGACAUGAACAAGAAUUACCUUACUGACUCCAACUUCAGGAAUCUGAAGUGUGUGUCCAGCAUCUUUUUCUCUGAAAAGGCAAGUUGAUAUAUAAGUCACAACAAAGCAUAAAUAGGUAUUUAAAGUGGCUUAUGAAAGGUAUAUUUCAGUUGAACUGUAGUAUUGUAUUUCUCUUCUAAGCUAUUAGGAAUUUUUUACAGAUAGAAAAUAUUGUGUUGCUGUACACACAAUGUAGACUUGCUUCAGGUCCCUUCUGCCAUUUGUAUAAAUGAUAUAAAGCACAUGAUUAAUAAAUGAUCAAAGAGUACCAAUAAAUUCUGAUCUAUAAACCUGGUAUUUCUAUCUGAACUGUCAUUCAAUGCCUUUAACAGUCUGAACUCUGCAUCCUUCAGGCUCUUUAAUGCACCUUGGUGUCCAUGUUCCAUGGUGAAGCUGAACUCUUGGUUGCAUUAGGCAGGUAAUAAAAGUAAACAAAGAGUAAUCUGUACAGGCUGAAUUUUGGCUUGUUUGCAUUUUUUGUUACCAAAACAGUGCAGCAGUAGGAAGAAGGGAUUUGUGUAUUACAUUCUCAUACUAAGGGAUUAAGAAGCAAUGCAGCUAGUAAAAGACCUAUAUGAAAAUUCAAAACAGAGUUGUCUGUUGAUCUUCACAUACACGACUCAACCUUUUAGAGCAAAUCAAAACAUGUCUAUCAGCAUUAGACAGAAACAGCUUUUCCAGGGUAAGGUUUUCAAGUAAGCAUAGAAAAAAGCUUUACAUCAUCAUUAAAUUCAUCAUCCACAAUGAACAAACCAGCUUAACAACUAAGAAUGCAUACAGUGUAGUACAAACCAGCUAAUUAUCUAAAGCAAAUGAACAAACCCUACUGAAAUUUGAAGGUGUGAGGAAGUCUAGGAUAUGCUUCCUAGUGAUCCUGGAUUUCCGAAGGGCAUUCUUCCAUUUCUGGAAAAAAAGUACUUCAGUGGCAUGAGACAACAUUUACUUACUUUCUAGGAAACAAGUUUUCAAAGAAGGGCUUGCAGCUAUACUGACACAGGGGGGCUCAGUCACAACAUCAAGUUAUCACUAACAAUUCAGGUCUGCUAAGCUGCAUUAAGUGUGUAUGCUGUUACAUUAUCAUGACAACAUGUUGUUAUGUGACCUGACUUGAAUUUCUUAAUGUGGACUAACCAAACUCAGAGCACCUCACAACUGCUGCAGGCUAGGAUGACAAGCAUGAAGAGCCAAGCAAUCUUAAGUGCCUUCCACAGCUUUCAAAGACAGGUAGUUUGAGAUUAUAUAUAUAUAUAUAUAUAUAUAUAUAUA